Molecule: long non-coding RNA, 1825 nt
Organism: Oenanthe melanoleuca
Lineage: Eukaryota; Metazoa; Chordata; Aves; Passeriformes; Muscicapidae
Exons: 5
Source: RefSeq, a predicted model, not a curated record
AGAACAGGGCCAGGGCAGGAGGGACAGACCCAGAACAGAGCCAGGACAGGAGGGACAGACCCAGAACAGGGCCAGGACAGGAGGGACAGACCCAGAACAGAGCCAGGACAGGAGGGACAGUCUCAGAACAGGGCCAGGGCAGGAGGGACAGACCCAGAACAGGGCCAGGGCAGGAGGGACAGACCCAGAACAGGCCAGGACAGGGCUGUGGGACUGCAGGGACUGGGCAGGGAGUCACACUCUGGAGUCUGGAGGUGGAAAUGAAGGAGGACAGAGAUCACUGCAUGUUGUGAAACCUUCUUGACACGCCAAGACCUUUGGAAGCUGAGGUGCCCUGAGGGCUGCUGGCUCAGAGCAGGGCUGGCCAAGGGGCCUUCUCUGGAAUCCCUUCUCACAGAGAAAGAGAAACAUUUGCUCAUCUGAUGGUGCACCUGAAACAAAGUUGGAUCAUCUGUUGAUAUUUUUUAGUGCAGAAGCCUCAGCCAUGACUGAAGAACUCAACAUAAAGCCACUGACUGAAGGGAAAAGAGACUCAGACAAAGAAUCUGUAUUAAAUGUGAUCAAAAAUUCUAAUGGACAGUUUAACCUUGAGGCUGCAAUUAAAAAUGUUGACACAAUGUCCAAUGAGUUGAAGAAAAUAAAUGUGGAAAGCCAGCUACUGCUUUGUGACCUGAUUCUGAAUUUCAACCAUCCUGGGAAGGCCAAAGAUUUAAGAGAAGCUGAAGAAAAGGCUUGGAGUUUGACAGAUUAAGUAACAUUCAUUUUCAUGUAUUUCUAUUAAUACUGCUGAAGCUGCUGGUACUUCUUCUUUCUUCUUCAUCUUGUUUCUUUUAAUUAAGUUUGAACUGUACAAUGCUAGCAUGGUUUCCUGCAGUUAGACUAUUUUUAUUUUAAGCUAAACAUGUGAAAUGGAAAAAAAAAAAAGUAGGUUGUUGGUUCUGAGAAGGGUUUUUCAACCCACAUUUCCCAAAUUAAGCCACUAGGGCUGGAAAGACUGAUGUGAUUAAUCAAAAAGGUCAGGAAACUGGGCAUGAAGAUUUUCACGUGGUUUUCUCCUUUUAAACAAAGAUGUGUUGGAGCAGUAACAAAAUUUGCAAUUUGCUACAAGUCACUGCUCUCUUAUCUCAGUUGUGCUUGGGGAAACAGGAUAAGCAAGUGUCAGUGAAGGAGGAACUGCAAUUUGUGUUUUGAGCUGUCUUCCUCAUCUUAAAAAUAUUGCUGAGGAAUGGGUCAAAGAGCAGAUUACUUCUGGAAAACCAAAAGUACUUUUCAUUCCGCUUUCUGCAAUGACUCUCUAAUGCAAAUAGCUACAAAAAUAGGGAGGAGUUUGUGGUUUCAAUGCUGAAAUCUUGGCCCAGCAUUUGCACAGCCACUAUUUUCAUGUAGUUCAUUGCAAUUAAUAUUCAAUCAUACUUUACUUGUGGUCAUGCUUGAAUGUUGAGAUGUAUUUUUAUUCUUACACCAAAUAUAUUUCUCUGAAUAAUCAAAUAGAGAUUUAUUCUACUUUAAAAAAUAUGCAAUGUUAGAAAUUUUCAUGCUGGUUUAUAUUUUAUUUCUCUUUCACUGGUGAGAUGAUUUAAAAUCAAUAAAACACAAUUCCAUAGGAGGUGUUUCUGUGUUGUCAGAUUUUUCAAGGAAUAGCAUUACAGUUCACAAGAAUUAGUGGUAAUGUGGAGGAGGUAGUUCUUAAUUUUAACAGUUUUUGAAAAAUAUUAGAACUGACUUUUCUUUAACCAGAUUAGUAGUCAAUUUUUAAAAAUAUUGAGCUAGAAGCUGAAGAAUUUUUAAAAUUUUAUUUUUAUCUUUAUUUUUGGACUCAUAGCUG